This 597-nucleotide ribosomal RNA is filed under the name Triticum aestivum (bread wheat). RNAcentral's name for it is "partial small subunit ribosomal RNA". Lineage: Eukaryota; Viridiplantae; Streptophyta; Magnoliopsida; Poales; Poaceae. The record is from RNAcentral.
AUCGGGAAGCGGGCGGCUCUUGCUCUGCUCCUGGCUACGCCCACGCUCUCACUGCCCUUCUCCGCCCACGCCAAGACCAAGACCAUAAAUCCUUAUGACGAAAGACGCUUGCUUCAGCAGAACAAGAAGAUCCAGGAAGCCAACCGUGCACCUGAUGAUUUCCCAAACUUUAUCAGAGAAGGUUUUCAGGUCAAAGUAGUGACACCCGAUAACUAUAUAACUCGGGACUCUGGAUUAAUAUAUGAGGACGUCAAAGUUGGUACGGGCGAUUGCCCAAAGGAUGGUCAGCAGGUUAUAUUUCACUAUGUGGGCUACAACGAAUCAGGACGAAGGAUAGAUAACACCUACAUCCAGGGUUCGCCUGCCAAAAUUCGGCUAGGCAACAAAUCAUUAGUUCCAGGUUUUGAAGAGGGGAUUCGGGACAUGAAGCCAGGGGGGAAGAGAAGACUAAUUAUACCUCCUGAGCUUGGUCCUCCUGUUGGGCCAUCGACGUUCUUUAGCGCGAAACAGUUUGAAGUAUUCGACGUCGAGCUACUCUCGGUGCAGGACUGCCAGCGGAGGACAAUAGCUUUCUACUCUGAUGUUGUCUGCACUUGA